RNAcentral lists this transfer RNA (82 nucleotides) under Solirubrobacter ginsenosidimutans. RNAcentral describes it as "Solirubrobacter sp. BXN5-15 tRNA". It matches the Rfam family "tRNA". Rfam says of the family: Transfer RNA (tRNA) molecules are approximately 80 nucleotides in length. Their secondary structure includes four short double-helical elements and three loops (D, anti-codon, and T loops). The record is from Rfam by way of RNAcentral. Lineage: Bacteria; Bacillati; Actinomycetota; Thermoleophilia; Solirubrobacterales; Solirubrobacteraceae. RNAcentral also lists the same sequence under 2 other names.
GCGGGCGUGGUGGAAUUGGCAGACACGCCGGCUUUAGGUGCCGGUGCCGCAAGGCGUGGGGGUUCGAGUCCCUCCGCCCGCA